RNAcentral lists this ribosomal RNA (301 nucleotides) under uncultured bacterium. Its description in RNAcentral is "partial 16S ribosomal RNA". It matches the Rfam family "Bacterial small subunit ribosomal RNA", at positions 509 to 807 of the family's 1533-position model. The record is from RNAcentral.
CAGCAGCCGCGGGAAUACGAAGGGGGCGAGCGUUGCUCGGAAUGACUGGGCGUAAAGGGCGCGUAGGUGGCGUGCACAGUCAGAUGUGAAAUUCCUGGGCUCAACCUGGGGGCUGCAUUUGAUACGUGCGUGCUAGAGUGUGGAAGAGGGUCGUGGAAUUCCCAGUGUAGAGGUGAAAUUCGUAGGUAUUAGGAAGAACACCGGUGGCGAAGGCGGCGACCUGGUCCGUUACUGACGCUGAGGCGCGAAAGCGUGGGGAGCAAACAGGAUUAGAUACCCGCGUAGUCCCUGUCUCUUAUAC